GGAGAGGUGCCGGAGUGGUUGAACGGGGCGGUCUCGAAAACCGUUAUAGUCUUUUGGCUAUCGAGGGUUCGAAUCCCUCCUUCUCCG
This 87-nucleotide transfer RNA is filed under the name Chloroflexota bacterium. RNAcentral describes it as "Chloroflexi bacterium (anaerobic digester metagenome) tRNA-Ser". It matches the Rfam family "tRNA". Rfam says of the family: Transfer RNA (tRNA) molecules are approximately 80 nucleotides in length. The record is from RNAcentral. Lineage: Bacteria; Bacillati; Chloroflexota.